Molecule: ribosomal RNA, 386 nt
Filed under: uncultured bacterium
Lineage: Bacteria
Description: bacterial SSU rRNA
Rfam family: Bacterial small subunit ribosomal RNA
Source: RNAcentral
CGUACGCUGGCGGCACGCCUAACACAUGCAAGUCGAACGCAGUAGCAAUACUGAGUGGCAAACGGGUGAGUAUAAUGUGGGAAUCUGCCUUUUGGUUUGGAAUAACACGGGGAAACUUGUGCUAAUACCAAAUAAGCCCUUACGGGGAAAGUUUUAACGCCGAAAGAUGAGCCCGCACUUGAUUAGCUAGUUGGUAAGGUAAAAGCUUACCAAGGCAAUGAUCAAUAGCUGUUCUUAGAGGAAGACCAGCCACAUUGGGACUGAGACACGGCCCAGACUCCUACGGGAGGCAGCAGUGGGGAAUCUUGCACAAUGGGGGAAACCCUGAUGCAGCGAUGCCGCGUGAGUGAAGAAGGCCUUUGGGUUGUAAAACUCUUUCGUCGGGG